AGUGAACGCUGGCGGUAGGCCUAACACAUGCAAGUCGAACGGCAGCACAGUAAGAGCUUGCUCUUACGGGUGGCGAGUGGCGGACGGGUGAGGAAUACAUCGGAAUCUACUUUUUCGUGGGGGAUAACGUAGGGAAACUUACGCUAAUACCGCAUACGACCUACGGGUGAAAGCAGGGGAUCUUCGGACCUUGCGUGAUUGAAUGAGCCGAUGUCGGAUUAGCUAGUUGGCGGGGUAAAGGCCCACCAAGGCGACGAUCCGUAGCUGGUCUGAGAGGAUGAUCAGCCACACUGGAACUGAGACACGGUCCAGACUCCUACGGGAGGCAGCAGUGGGGAAUAUUGGACAAUGGGCGCAAGCCUGAUCCAGCCAUACCGCGUGGGUGAAGAAGGCCUUCGGGUUGUAAAGCCCUUUUGUUGGGAAAGAAAAGCAGCAGGUUAAUACCCCGCUGUUCUGACGGUACCCAAAGAAUAAGCACCGGCUAACUUCGU
RNAcentral lists this ribosomal RNA (491 nucleotides) under uncultured bacterium. Its description in RNAcentral is "partial 16S ribosomal RNA". It matches the Rfam family "Bacterial small subunit ribosomal RNA", at positions 29 to 506 of the family's 1533-position model. The record is from RNAcentral.